This 467-nucleotide ribosomal RNA is filed under the name uncultured bacterium. Its description in RNAcentral is "partial 16S ribosomal RNA". It matches the Rfam family "Bacterial small subunit ribosomal RNA", at positions 29 to 507 of the family's 1533-position model. The record is from RNAcentral.
ACGAACGCUGGCGGCGUGCUUAACACCUGCAAGUCGAACGGAAAGGCCCUGCUUUUGUGGGGUGCUCGAGUGGCGAACGGGUGAGUAGCACGUGAGUAACCUGCCCUUGACUUUGGGAUAACUUCAGGAAACUGGGGCUAAUACCGGAUAGGAGCUCCUGCUGCAUGGUGGGGGUUGGAAAGUUUCGGCGGUUGGGGAUGGACUCGCGGCUUAUCAGCUUGUUGGUGGGGUAGUGGCUUACCAAGGCUUUGACGGGUAGCCGGCCUGAGAGGGUGACCGGCCACAUUGGGACUGAGAUACGGCCCAGACUCCUACGGGAGGCAGCAGUGGGGAAUAUUGCACAAUGGGGGGAAGCCUGAUGCAGCAACGCCGCGUGCGGGAUGACGGCCUUCGGGUUGUAAACCGCUUUCGCCUGUGACGAAGCGUGAGUGACGGUAAUGGGUAAAGAAGCACCGGCUAACUACGUG